CUCUACCGUCUGGAGCAUCCUGGUGUCGCUCGUGUUUUCAGUGGAGUUCGGGUCUCUCCGUCACAGUGGCAUGCUCGUCUUGGUCACCCGGCCACACCUAUUGUCCGUCAUAUUUUGCGUCGUCAUGAGCUUCCUAGUUUGUCUAGUAAUAAAGAUGUAGCAGUGUGUGAUGCUUGUCAGCAGGGGAAGAGUCAUCAACUUCCUUUUUCGGAGUCCAGUCGUGAGGUGAAACAUCCUUUAGAACUUGUGUUUUCAGAUGUAUGGGGUCCUGCUCAGACUUCUGUCAGUGGUCAUAAUUACUAUAUCAGUUUCGUUGAUGCUUAUAGUCGCUUUACCUGGCUUUACCUUAUUAAACGCAAAUCUGAUGUGUUUGAUAUUUUUGUUCAGUUUCAAAAACAUGUUGAACGUCUUCUCAAGCACAAAAUUGUUCAUGUCCAGUCGGAUUGGGGGGGCGAGUAUCGCAACCUCAACUCUUUCUUUCAGUCGCUUGGGAUAGCUCAUCGUUUAGCAUGUCCACAUACACAU
RNAcentral lists this ribosomal RNA (525 nucleotides) under Triticum aestivum (bread wheat). Its description in RNAcentral is "partial small subunit ribosomal RNA". Lineage: Eukaryota; Viridiplantae; Streptophyta; Magnoliopsida; Poales; Poaceae. The record is from RNAcentral.